Molecule: ribosomal RNA, 253 nt
Filed under: uncultured bacterium
Lineage: Bacteria
Description: partial 16S ribosomal RNA
Rfam family: Bacterial small subunit ribosomal RNA
Source: RNAcentral
UACGAAGGGGGCUAGCGUUGUUCGGAAUUACUGGGCGUAAAGCGCGCGCGGGCGGUUCUUUAAGUCAGGGGUGAAAGCCCAGAGCUCAACUCUGGAAUUGCCUUUGAAACUAGAGAACUUGGGUACGGGAGAGGUGAGUGGAAUUCCGAGUGUAGAGGUGAAAUUCGUAGAUAUUCGGAAGAACACCAGUGGCGAAGGCGGCUCACUGGCCCGUUACCGACGCUCAGGCGCGACAGCGUGGGGAGCAAACAGG